AAACUAGUGAUGUAUAGGUUUUAUUGAAGAAAUGUUUUUGAAGUUCACAAACUUGCCACUAAGGAUUUAUUAUAUAGGCUACUAGAAGACAUGCACUCACAAAUGGACACUAGCGCUUUAAUAGUUUAUCUCCCUACGACUGGGAGCAGUUCCUCUGGAUAAGUAAUUGCAUUGCGUCCUCUGGUGGAAAAACGUACACCGAACACAUCAGAGCAAUAUAGUGAAAAUGUUUAGACAAGUUUCAGUAUUGCAGAGUCCAGAUUUAAACAGAAAUAGUCUUAAUAAAUAAAACUGACAAAUUGCCCAUUCUGUUAGGAAAAAUAAAGGAGAGCUAUGUUUUAGCCGGACAGUAAGUAUCUGAGGGGUAGUGAGUAACCCACCCAAAGAUGGUAGGCAGAGGUGGAGCAUUAGACGGAGGUGGAGCAGUAGGCAGAAGUGGAGUAUUAGGUGGAGUUGGAGCGGUAGGUGGAGGUGGAGCAGUAGGCAGAAGUGGAGUAUUAGGUGGAGGUGGAGCGGUAGGCGGAGGUGGAGCAUUAAGCGGGGGUGGAGCAUUAGGUGGAGGUGGAGCGGUAAGUGGAGGUGGAGCAUUAGGCGGAGGUGGAGCGGUGGGCGGAGGUGGAGCAUUAGGCGGAGGUGGAGCGGUAGCGGAGGUGGAGAAGUAGAUGGAGGUGG
Molecule: long non-coding RNA, 672 nt
Organism: Ictalurus punctatus (channel catfish)
Lineage: Eukaryota; Metazoa; Chordata; Actinopteri; Siluriformes; Ictaluridae
Source: Ensembl